Daktulosphaira vitifoliae (grape phylloxera) is the source of this 1970-nucleotide RNA transcript. It is a transcript of the gene named alpha-N-acetylgalactosaminidase-like, with no coding region annotated. The record is from RefSeq and is a predicted model, not a curated record. Lineage: Eukaryota; Metazoa; Arthropoda; Insecta; Hemiptera; Phylloxeridae. The transcript has 10 exons.
UCAUUUCGUACACCAACAAGAGUAAAUAAUUGUAGUCACUUUUUACGCAUUUGUUUUUGUAUAUUAUUAAUAUUUUAUACAAUAUCAUUAAUUUUAAAUAAUUGUUUUCUAGUUUAAACUAACUUUCUUACUCGAAAUAAAAUAAUUUGCAGAGAAAUGUUACAUUUUUCACGAAAUAAUUUAUGUUUAGCUUUUUUUUUAUUUAGCUAUUCAUUGGAUGCAUUAGACAAUGGAUUAGCACUAACUCCACCUAUGGGAUGGCUUGCUUGGCAAAGAUUUAGAUGCACAAUUGAUUGUGAAACAUUUCCAGAUGAAUGUAUUAGUGAAGAGUUAUUCAAAAGAGCAGCAGAUUUAUUAGUUAGUGAAGGUUAUGCUAAUGUUGGAUAUGAAUAUGUUAUCAUUGAUGAUUGUUGGUUAGAAGCUAAUCGUUCUGCCGAAGGAAAAUUACAAGCUGAUAAAAAAAGAUUUCCAAAUGGAAUCAAAGCUUUGGCAGAAUAUAUACAUUCUAAAGGAUUGAAGUUGGGAAUUUAUGAAGAUGUGGGAACUAAAACUUGUGAGGGUUACCCUGGAAUUGAAGGGCAUGAAGAAAUGGAUGCUAAUACAUUUGCUGAAUGGGAUAUUGAUUAUAUAAAAAUUGAUGGAUGUUUUAUAGAUGAGCGUAGAAUGGAUAAAGGUUUUCCUCAAUUUGGAAAGUUUUUAAACAAAACCGGAAGACCAAUUGUAUAUUCAUGUUGUUGGCCAUUUUAUCAAGAUUGGAAAGGAAUUAAUGUAAAUUAUAAACUUGUGUCUGAGAAUUGUAAUUUAUGGAGAACUAAUGGAGAUAUUCAGGAAUCAUAUUCAUCAUUAAUGAAUAUUGUGGAUAUGAUUGCUUUGAAACAAGACUCUUGGGUUUUAAAUGCAGGUCCAGGACAUUGGAAUGAUCCUGAUAUGCUGUUAAUUGGAAAUUUUGCUUUGAGUUAUGAGCAGAGCAAAACUCAGAUGGCUCUAUGGGCUAUUUUAGCAGCUCCUCUAAUGAUGUCAAAUAAAUUAUCCUCUGUACGUUUAGAAUACAAAAGUAUACUUCAAAACACAGAUAUUAUAAAAGUAAAUCAGGAUAAGCUUGGAAUACAAGGAAGAAGAAUAUACAAGGAUCAAGGAAUUGAAGUGUGGGUUAGGCCAGUUGAACCAAAAAGUGAAAAAUAUUACUCUUAUGCUAUUGCAUUUGUCAAUCGUAGAACAGAAGGUACUCCAUACUUGUAUAGUACCUCAUUAAGAGAUCUUGGAUUAAUAAAUCCUGAAGGUUAUAUCAUAAAAAAUUUGUACUCAAAUCAUACAGUUUCUAAAUUUUUAGAGCCCAAUUCAUUGAUUAAAGUUUUAACGAAUCCUACAGUUUCUUAAAAGCUAACACAAAAUAUUUUGAGUCAUAUUUCAUAGAAUAAUUAUAACUAGCCAUCCUCAUAUUUAGAAAACUUACAAGAAACACAAAAAAAUAAAUACUUUUAGUACAAAAUUGGGCACAUAUAUAUUUUAUAUUGGCUAUUAUGGUGAAAAAUUAGUUAAUUGGUGAAUGAUCAUUAAUCAUAUUAAAAUAUAGAUAAAAUUAUUUUCUAUCAAAUUUAAAACAAUGAAUUUUCGAGAAAAGAAGUGGAGAUGGCAAAAUUUUACACUGGACACUUCAAUUAUUAUUUUUGUGUUGUUUUUCUAAAAGCAAGUUUAGUAUCUGAUCAAGAAGCUAUGUCAAGUUCAGGAGCAAAUAAAAUAAUUAUUUAUAAAUAAUUACAUGUACAGUUUUGAUACAAAAAAAUUAUAAUAAAAGAGUUCUAAUAAAUAACAUAAAAAUUCCAAAAAUUGCAAUUGAUUUUAAUUACUUUCAUCAUUUAAAAAUGUAUUAAAAUUUUAUUUUAUUUAUGCUAAAAAUAAAUCACAUGUAUAUUAUAUGCAUGUAACAUUUAAUAUUUUUAAUUAAUGUUUGUUAUUUACACAUCUAAUGA